CCACAACUCUCUCCCAGAUCCACGUUGCGCUCCUUGCUCGCUUGAUCUACUUCGCCACAACACCUCCUCCCCUUCCAGCGCCCCCACCUCACCCCGCACCCCAUUUACGCCGCCUCCAUGUCCUCCCCUUCCAGCGCCCGCCUCGCAGUUGGGGGCGAGCGUGGGCUCGCGACCGGCGUAUGGUGCCAGGUGCAGUCGGGCGACAUGGACGGACGCUACAUGCAGCGGUGCGUGGAGCUGGCGCGCAAGGCGGCCGGCCACACCAGCCCCAACCCCAUAGUCGGCUGCGUCAUCAUUCGCGACGGGCGUGUCAUCAGAGAGGGUUUCCACCUGAAGGCCGGCGGUGGGGAGAUGGUGGAUGAGGAUCGGAUGACGGCGAGUGGGUCUUGUACCUCCCAGCGGUAGAUCCGAUCCGACUUCUCCACGGUGAGUUGCCCUCCCAUCGCGCCGUUGCCCUUAGAUCCACGGCCUCCUCGUCCCGAGUAGUCGUCUGAUCCUCACGGCGUCAAAUUUGGCGCAAGGAGGAGAGAGCAAUGGUGACCAAGAUGAGCGUGGGCACCCUGGAGGAGGCAGAUCUGAAGGGAAAGAGGGUGUUACUGCCAGCCGACCUCGUGCCGCUCGAUGAAGCCCAGAAGAACACCGGCUACACCCGCAAUGUGGUUAUGGAAGCUACAAUGAGGUUGAAAUUCAGAGAUGGUUGUGUUCUCAAGUGCAAGCUGAUUCUAUGCUUCACGCAGCAGGUAUAUACCUGACUUCACAUUGGUUAUUUAUCAGGAAAACUUGGUCCAUUUCCGGAAUUCGAGGUAGCCUUGUGUGUUUUAUCUCUACUUGUGAUAAACAGUCAGGUCUUUUGCACAUGUUUGAUGAAACCAUCAGUUUUCUUAAAUACGGCAAGAGGUGGUCUCGGCACAACUGACUGUGUAGUUUUGUUCUAUUCUACCUGUACAAACCAGUGAAAGUGUAAGGUAAAUGACAGAGGCUUGGUUUUACUCUGCUACUUCAAGAUUUUCGGUUUCAGGGUCUCGUUGCCAUUAUUUUGUUUUGCAGUCGACAAGAAAAAUAGUUGGAUAUGGUGCAGUGAUAUCACACAAUCAUGCUUCCUUUUCUUUUCUCUGCUUUUUCUAUUCAAUUUUUCUCUGGAUAUUGUGAGGGCUGGUAGGAACCUGUUCCACUGCUUACCGAGGCAUUCAAGGGGUCAAGCAAAUCAGAGUGAUCUGCUGGGGAUCCAGGUUCAAAAGAACACCAACUUUAUUGUCUACCUACUUACUCUUUUUUCAUAUUGUUUUGGCAAAAUUUGGUUAUCUAUUCUUGUGUAUGGUCGAUGUGUUGCUGUUACAUAUCUACCUAUUGAUCGUGUACUGUGGAACUGUUCUCGAAUCAACAAAUCGAUGUGGUUAUAUGUCGUGGACAAAACCAAUUUCACAUAGAAGUCUCAUGAUAUUUGGGUUCAGGACAAGAGAAUCGCUUGUAUUUGCUUGUGCGUGUGAGCUCUGUUGGGGCUAUGAUGCUGCAGGUUCUUGGGCCAAUAAAAUUGUCUGCCGUCAAACCUGAAGGGACAUCAUAUCUAAGUAUUCUCUAGCUCAACAAUCAUCUGGUGGGAACUCACACCAUCAGAUGAGCACCAAUAUGAGGUUAGUAUUAUGAUGGGGCUGUUAUUCAGAAGGCUGGUAUGAGAAGCUGAAGAAAUAUAGUCUUUUAUGCAGAAAAUGUAAAAUUUAUCAUUUUGAUUUGCCUUCUCUUGCAAUUUUGUACAUUAUUUUGGUUUUCAAUUGAGUUGUUAUUGAACGUUUGGAAUUUUCAUGUGCACGGGAUUGCCAAUGUGAGAAGCGAAGAACAAGGAAACAAGGGCAUGAAAAUGAUAUGUCCAAGUGCGGCUCCAGAACGGCGCAUCUAAAUUCAUACUUGAUGCAGUCUUUGUUUUUUGUGCCUUGAUCUGGUAUGUGACAAGGUUUAUUUGACCAAUGAUAAAGUACGCAUGGUGUUUAGUUAUAACAGCAUAAUGGGAAUUUGGUGAUAAACUGAGACAUGGCGAAAUUGAUAAA
This is an RNA transcript of Phragmites australis (common reed), 2042 nucleotides long. It is a transcript of the gene named phosphoglycerate kinase 3, cytosolic-like, with no coding region annotated. The transcript has 2 exons. The record is from RefSeq and is a predicted model, not a curated record. Lineage: Eukaryota; Viridiplantae; Streptophyta; Magnoliopsida; Poales; Poaceae.